AAGCGUUGUCCGGGAAUUAUUGGGGCGUAAAGGGCUCGCAGGCGGUUUCUUAAGUCUGAUGUGAAAGCCCCCGGCUCAACCGGGGAGGGUCAUUGGAAACUGGGAAACUUGAGUGCAGAAGAGGAGAGUGGAAUUCCACGUGUAGCGGUGAAAUGCGUAGAGAUGUGGAGGAACACCAGUGGCGAAGGCGACUCUCUGGUCUGUAACUGACGCUGAGGAGCGAAAGCGUGGGGAGCGAACAGGAUUAGAUACCCUGGUAGUCCACGCCGUAAACGAUGAGUGCUAAGUGUUAGGGGGUUUCCGCCCCUUAGUGCUGCAGCUAACGCAUUAAGCACUCCGCCUGGGGAGUACGGUCGCAAGACUGAAACUCAAAGGAAUUGACGGGGGCCCGCACAAGCGGUGGAGCAUGUGGUUUAAUUCGAAGCAACGCGAAGAACCUUACCAGGUCUUGACAUCCUCUGACAACCCUAGAGAUAGGGCUUUCCCUUCGGGGACAGAGUGACAGGUGGUGCAUGGUUGUCGUCAGCUCGUGUCGUGAGAUGUUGGGUUAAGUCCCGCAACGAGCGCAACCCUUGAUCUUAGUUGCCAGCAUUCAGUUGGGCACUCUAAGGUGACUGCCGGUGACAAACCGGAGGAAGGUGGGGAUGACGUCAAA
RNAcentral lists this ribosomal RNA (655 nucleotides) under Bacillus sp. (in: firmicutes). RNAcentral describes it as "bacterial SSU rRNA". It matches the Rfam family "Bacterial small subunit ribosomal RNA", at positions 536 to 1189 of the family's 1533-position model. Lineage: Bacteria; Bacillati; Bacillota; Bacilli; Caryophanales; Bacillaceae. The record is from RNAcentral.